CGAACGGGUGAGUAUCGCGUGGGUAACCUACCCAGAGGUGGAGGAUAGCUCCGGAAAACCGGGGGUAAUACUGCAUAUGUCCUCGAUGACACAAGUCGACGAGGGCAAAGGCGGGGCUUCUUCGGAACCUGUCGCCUUUGGAUGGGCCCGCGUCCGAUUAGCUUGUUGGUGGGGUAACGGCCCACCAAGGCUACGAUCGGUAGCCGGCCUGAGAGGGUGAACGGCCACAUUGGGACUGAGACACGGCCCAG
RNAcentral lists this ribosomal RNA (251 nucleotides) under uncultured bacterium. Its description in RNAcentral is "partial 16S ribosomal RNA". It matches the Rfam family "Bacterial small subunit ribosomal RNA", at positions 99 to 334 of the family's 1533-position model. The record is from RNAcentral.